RNAcentral lists this microRNA precursor (143 nucleotides) under Canis lupus familiaris (dog). Its description in RNAcentral is "miRNA (ENSCAFG00845029472.1)". Lineage: Eukaryota; Metazoa; Chordata; Mammalia; Carnivora; Canidae. The record is from RNAcentral.
CCGAUCUGCACAGCUCAGGGCCGCCUGGUGGCAGGAGUGUCCUUGCUGUCCUGUGCCUUCCCGGCCUCUGCCUGUCCUGGGGGGAGCGCAGGAUCCUGGGCUGUGUCCCCCAGUGCCCUGGGCUCUGGGGUCUGCACCGCUGG